RNAcentral lists this ribosomal RNA (234 nucleotides) under uncultured Eubacteriales bacterium. RNAcentral describes it as "uncultured Clostridiales bacterium partial 16S ribosomal RNA". It matches the Rfam family "Bacterial small subunit ribosomal RNA", at positions 106 to 339 of the family's 1533-position model. Lineage: Bacteria; Bacillati; Bacillota; Clostridia; Eubacteriales. The record is from RNAcentral.
GUAAGUAACGCGUGGAUAACCUGCCUCACACAGGGGGACAACAGCCGGAAACGGCUGCUAAUACCGCAUAACACAAGCAAUUCGCAUGAAUAGCUUGCCAAAGAUUUUAUCGGUGUGAGAUGGAUCCGCGUCUGAUUAGCCAGUUGGCGGGGUAACGGCCCACCAAAGCGACGAUCAGUAGCCGACCUGAGAGGGUGACCGGCCACAUUGGGACUGAGACACGGCCCAAACUCC